CCGCGAUUCCCGGCUCGACGACGCACGUGGACGUGGGGGCAUUAGUCGUUCGCCGAGGUAACGGUGCGAGCGACGCUCCCAUGCACUCGUUUUUGGUGUGAACCGCUGCGGUGUCAAAUCGUCUGUAGACGACUUAGGUAGCUGUCUUGGUGUCGUAAUUAGUAGAGCAGCCACCACACUGCAAUCUAUUGAGGCUUAGCCAUUGACCGGGAGGUUUGU
RNAcentral lists this non-coding RNA (219 nucleotides) under Ixodes scapularis (black-legged tick). RNAcentral's name for it is "Eukaryotic large subunit ribosomal RNA". It matches the Rfam family "Eukaryotic large subunit ribosomal RNA", at positions 3169 to 3401 of the family's 3401-position model. The record is from Rfam by way of RNAcentral. Lineage: Eukaryota; Metazoa; Arthropoda; Arachnida; Ixodida; Ixodidae.